CGCGUGUCCAAAAGCCAGCGCUGCCGCCCCCCCCGGCCUCCCCUGCGUGCGGAGAAUAUCGCCGGCAGCACACGCGCGCACCGGCGCGCCUCUCCGCUCUUUCGGCCGCAGGGUAGUCCCUGGAAGGGGGCAUCUCCAAGAGAAGCGGCUAGACCCAGCGACCCAGCCGUUCGCUUUGGUCGCCACCUGUGAGGCGAGCAUCCGAGCGCAACGGGAGUCUGGGAGCUGUAUCAAAAAGAGCUGGAACCAACGACAGCAAAUGCUGACGGAGAGGGAAGCCGGACGAGCGGCAUGUAGGGGAUUAAUACCUAAGGGACGGGGUUGAAACGAGGAGGCAGAAACGCAGCGGACCCUCGGUAUCCUCAGCAGCUGCCACGGUAGCGGCAGGUGUUCCGCCACGGGCAAGUCAAGCAGGGAACGACGACGGGCUGUCGUGAAGAACUACAGGCUGCCGCCCUCUGACCUCGGCAGGUGACGCGCCGAGAGCAGCCGGGAGAAUCCGAAUGCCGGUCUUGGCAAGUUCUCUGCCUGGUGCUGACGAGGAGCCUUUGACAGUAGGAAGGUUGGCAGCGUCCGUACCUGAACCGUGGAGUAGUAAGCUGCAGUUCACGGACCAGCAGAGGAGGCGGGGGGCGGGGGCCGGCGGGGGGGAGGGGGGAUAGGGGGAUAGUGACCGGUUGAAGGGAUUGAUUGCACGGACUCCUGAUAGGUUCUGAUCAGAAGACGUCUAUCCAUAUCAGAAGGCAAAAUAUAUCUAUCGAUACAGUAAGCACGAGUUGUGCACGCGACACACACAGCGCAGUGAUUGGGUAUACAGCGACAAGCACGCGCUCCAGCUACUAAAGCGAUUGGUUAUGUCCCUUGAUACAAUUUUCUCACAAGCAGACACCACGGUUAUCUGCUUGGCUCAUAUUCUGCGUUCUUGUUCUGUUUCUCACAGCACACCUGCUUCUAGUUUCAGUUGAAGGACGGGUCGCCUAGCUCAGCGUCUAACAAACCCCACAACCGGUGGCCCGGUCGCUAUGGCGCUGCUGUUGCUAGCAGAGCCACCAGGUCUGUGUGAAGCCUUAGGUGCCUGCUUGGAGCAGUGUUUUGGUCUGCUCACCUGGAAGAAGCAGCGAGGCCUAAAAUAAGACUUUGUUGCGGCUACAUGGGUAAGCUGCGACCCCACGUGUCUUUGCCUUGCUUUGCUGCCUCAUGUCGUAAGAGCGACUUGGGAAUAAAAACCGCUUACGGGGGUGCUUAAGGGAGGAUCUGCGUUCUGCCCAGCUUAGGGAGCUAUAGCGAAAGCUUGGGGAGGGGA
This is a long non-coding RNA of Rhea pennata, 1303 nucleotides long. RefSeq lists it as uncharacterized. NCBI's taxonomy places the organism in Eukaryota, Metazoa, Chordata, Aves, Rheiformes, Rheidae. The transcript has 4 exons. The record is from RefSeq and is a predicted model, not a curated record.